GGGUGGCUAGCUCAGGGGUAGAGCAAUCGCCUUACAAGCGAUGGGUCGUGGGUUCAAAUCCCUCGCCGCCCACCA
This 75-nucleotide transfer RNA is filed under the name Pleurocapsa sp. SU_196_0. Its description in RNAcentral is "tRNA-Val". It matches the Rfam family "tRNA". Rfam says of the family: Transfer RNA (tRNA) molecules are approximately 80 nucleotides in length. Their secondary structure includes four short double-helical elements and three loops (D, anti-codon, and T loops). Lineage: Bacteria; Bacillati; Cyanobacteriota; Cyanophyceae; Pleurocapsales; Pleurocapsaceae. The record is from RNAcentral.